Oncorhynchus tshawytscha (Chinook salmon) is the source of this 517-nucleotide long non-coding RNA. The record is from Ensembl. NCBI's taxonomy places the organism in Eukaryota, Metazoa, Chordata, Actinopteri, Salmoniformes, Salmonidae.
GCACCAUUCAAUCCAUCUCUGCGAAAUACUGGUGGCCCACAUUUGCGCAGGACAUCGCCCGUUAUGUCAACUCCUGCUCCGUGUGUGCCCAAAUCAAAUCUCCCCAGCACACUCCAGCAGGGAAACUCCUUCCCCUUCCCGUGCCUCAGCGGCCUUGGUCCCAUGUGUCCAUAGAUUUCGAUACUUCCUCCAUCUGAAGGUUUCACCAAAUCCUGCCAUUUUAUUCCUCUCUCUGGUCUCCCUACCGCUCUCCAGAUCAUUAAUGCACUGUUCCAGCAGGUCUUCCGGGUACUAUGACCUUCUGGAGGACAUCGUCUCCGACCGUGGCCCCCAAUUCACGUUGUGGGUAUGGAGAGCCUUCGUGAAGAAGUUUGGGGCCACGGCCAGCCUCACAUACAGACUGGUGGUUCCUGGUCCCCUGGCUGGUGUCGUCCCCUGUGACACCCCUCCACCUCCCAUGGACAUCGAUGGGACCAGGACGGUCCGGACGGGACCCAACAGCACUCCUCUGGGCCGC